AGAAAUGAGUUACAAUAUAUUCUGUUUGUUAUUAUGUAUUAUAAAGAUGUGACUCUAUUAAAGAAGUAGAGGAUAGAAAAGGUUCAUAUCCUUUUAGAAACAUGCUUCCUAAACAGAUUUUGGAUUAUUUACUGAUAUGAAUACUGUGAAUUCUCCUGAAGCCAGAGGAUCCUUUUGAUUUUUGCACUUUUUGAAAAAAAAAAAAGAUGCUUUCGAUAGAGAACGUUGGAUCUCCAUACUUGAAAAACUAUGUGAUGGGGUUGGGGGUCUGGAGAGAAGCUUCUUUUUCGAGAAUUACUUUCACUGGGUCUCGUAAUUUCAAACUGCUAUUUGCUCUGUAAAAGAACAUCUUUGUAAAUGUGGUAGCUUCCACUGCUGACUGUAUGUUCUUCCCAUGCUGGGUAACUCUAGCACUCUCAGAGAAUAGUAACAUCUCCAAUUUCCUUACAUCAAGUGCAGAAUAACCCUUCUGUAAAUUAAAAGUGCUAUACAAACUUGAUAUAUCGAUUUGACCUAAUUUCCUUUUGCCAGGAUUGGCUUUUUCAUUAUCCUUUCCAGACAUUUGUUUUUGCUUUUUUUUUUUUUCCAGUGGGAAUUAUUAUUUAAUUUGGGCUGCCUUAUCUAGCAAAAAUUCUUUCUCCAUCAUCCUCCCUUAUUCCUUCUUCCUGCCCCGGACUGUCACUGAUUCAUUCUGAGUUUUCAAGUCUCAAGUACUGAAUGUUUGUAUCCUCCCAGAAUUCAUAUGUCAAAACCCUGAUUCCCAACAUGACGGUGUUUGGAGGUGAAGAGAAGGCAGUUAUCUACAAGCCAGGAAGAGGGCUCUCACCAGAACUUGACCAUGCUAGCACUCCGAUCUUAGGCUUCCAGCUUCCAGAAAUGGUACAGUACUCUCUCCUUAUCCACGGUUUCAUUUUCCAUGGUUUCAGUGAUUCAGUUACUCAAGGUCAACUGUGGUCGGGAAGUAUAUGAUCCUACUGAAAAACCGUCAAAAGGCUAGGGAAACAAGCAAAACUAUACUCUGGGACUACACCAUACUAAACAGCUUUUGCACAUCGAAGGAAACCAUCAACAGAAUGAAAAGGCAACCUACUGAAAAGGCAACAAAGGGAGAAGAUUGUUGUAAGUGAUAUAUCCAAUAGGGUGUUGAUAUCCAAAAUACAUAAAGAACACAUUUUUUUAAUUUCAUUUUUUCGAAGACAUAUUUCUUUUAGAGCAGUUUUAGGUACACAGCAGAAUUAAGGGGAAGUUAGAGAUUUACCAUAUGGUCACUGCCCCAACCUGAAUAACCUUUCCCAUUAUCAACACCCUCCACCAGAGUUGUAUAUUUGUUACAAUUGUUCAACCUACAUUGACACAUCAUAAUCAUCCAAAGUCUGUAGUUCACAUUACAGUUCACUCUUGGUGUUUUACAUUCUUAGUUUGGACAAAUGUAUAAUGACGAACAGUCAUCAUUUGAUGACAUAUCCAUCAUCCAUCCAUAGGGUAGAGGAUUUUCACUGUCCUAAAAAUCUUCUGUGCUCCACCUAUUUAUGCCUCUUCCUUUAAACACUGAGUGACUGAUUCUUUUACUGUCUUCAUAGUUUUUUUUUCCAAAAUGUCUCAUAGUUGGAAAUAUACAGUGUGUACCCUUUCCAGAUUGGCUUCUUUUACUCAGUAAUAUGUAUCUAAGUUUCUUCCAUGUUUUUUCAUGGCUUGAUAACUCAUUUCUUUUUAGCAUUAAGUAAAUGGAUAGACUACAGUUUGUUUAUCCAUUCAUCUACUGAAGGACAUCUUGGUUUGCUUCCAGUCUUUGGCAAUUAUGCAUAAAGCUUCUAUUAAUAUCUGUGUGCAAGCUU
Long non-coding RNA from Felis catus (domestic cat), 1835 nucleotides. RefSeq lists it as uncharacterized. The record is from RefSeq and is a predicted model, not a curated record. NCBI's taxonomy places the organism in Eukaryota, Metazoa, Chordata, Mammalia, Carnivora, Felidae. The transcript is spliced from 5 exons.